CUGGCUCAGGACGAACGCUGGCGGCGUGCUUAACACAUGCAAGUCGAACGAUGAACCACUUCGGUGGGGAUUAGUGGCGAACGGGUGAGUAACACGUGGGCAAUCUGCCCUGCACUCUGGGACAAGCCCUGGAAACGGGGUCUAAUACCGGAUACGACGCGCUCAGGCAUCUGAUGCGCGUGGAAAGCUCCGGCGGUGCAGGAUGAGCCCGCGGCCUAUCAGCUUGUUGGUGAGGUAACGGCUCACCAAGGCGACGACGGGUAGCCGGCCUGAGAGGGCGACCGGCCACACUGCGACUGAGACACGCCCCAGACUCCUACGGGAGGCAGCAGUGGGGAAUAUUGCACAAUGGGCGAAAGCCUGAUGCAGCGACGCCGCGUGAGGGAUGACGGCCUUCGGGUUGUAAACCUCUUUCAGCAGGGAAGAAGCGAAAGUGACGGUACCUGCAGAAGAAGCGCCGGCUAACUACGUGCCAGCAGCCGCGGUAAUACGUAGGGCGCGAGCGUUGUCCGGAAUUAUUGGGCGUAAAGAGCUCGUAGGCGGCUUGUCGCGUCGGUUGUGAAAGCCCGGGGCUUAACCCCGGGUCUGCAGUCGAUACGGGCAGGCUAGAGUUCGGUAGGGGAGAUCGGAAUUCCUGGUGUAGCGGUGAAAUGCGCAGAUAUCAGGAGGAACACCGGUGGCGAAGGCGGAUCUCUGGGCCGAUACUGACGCUGAGGAGCGAAAGCGUGGGGAGCGAACAGGAUUAGAUACCCUGGUAGUCCACGCCGUAAACGGUGGGCACUAGGUGUGGGCAACAUUCCACGUUGUCCGUGCCGCAGCUAACGCAUUAAGUGCCCCGCCUGGGGAGUACGGCCGCAAGGCUAAAACUCAAAGGAAUUGACGGGGGGCCCGCACAAGCGGCGGAGCAUGUGGCUUAAUUCGACGCAACGCGAAGAACCUUACCAAGGCUUGACAUACACCGGAAAACUCUGGAGACAGGGUCCCCCUUGUGGUCGG
Molecule: ribosomal RNA, 996 nt
Filed under: Streptomyces sp.
Lineage: Bacteria; Bacillati; Actinomycetota; Actinomycetes; Kitasatosporales; Streptomycetaceae
Description: bacterial SSU rRNA
Rfam family: Bacterial small subunit ribosomal RNA
Source: RNAcentral